AACCUAGCACACCUGCGGUGUGUACCUGCGGAAGGAUCAUUACAGAGUUGCAAAACUCCCUAAACCAUUGUGAACGUUACCUAAACCGUUGCUUCGGCGGGCGGCCCGGGUCCUUCCCGGCGCCCAUCGGCCCUCGCGGGCGCCCGCCGGAGGUAAACCAAACUAUUGCAUUGUAUGGCCUCUCUGAGUCUUCUGUACUGAAUAAGUCAAAACUUUUAGCAAUGGAUCUCAGAUCGGAAG
This 240-nucleotide unclassified non-coding RNA is filed under the name soil metagenome. RNAcentral's name for it is "partial contains 5.8S ribosomal RNA, internal transcribed spacer 2, and large subunit ribosomal RNA". The record is from RNAcentral.